UCGAGGGGAGUAAUUGAGCGUGCCUUCGGUGUACUUAAAAGCCGGUUUCGAUGUUUAGACACUUCCGGCGGUGCUCUUUUGUACUCACCGUCGAAGGUUUGCGGCAUGGUAAAUGCAUGUUGUAUUUUACACAACAUAUGUGUCGCAAACCGUUUGCCGGUGACUCUUCGUCGCAGUGCUGUCCGACGCGGGAACCGGUCUUCUGCUCUACCGGUGGGUAUGGACGAAGGAGAGGAUUCCCGGCGGACAUUGAUCCAAAAUUAUUUUGCAGUUGCCUAGUUUUACAUCCUGUUGAUGUAUAUCCCCAGGCCAUGUUUGUACAGUUCGUUACCCCGUUUUAUCCUGUUGUUGGGUUCCCGCAAAUAUUUGAUCCUUUUAUCCAACUCUACCAUGGGCGAACCUACUGGUGAUGUGGACCUGACCCUCUGCCAUGUAGCAGACAACCCCCCCUCAGGUCCUGCGAUGUAUCUUCCCAAGUGGCGUGGAUGUGAGGAGACACGACAUUUCACCUGAUGUUCCAUGGGUGACCCUACUGGUGAUGUGGACCUGACCCUCCGCCAUGUAGCAGACAACCCCCCUCAGGUCCUGCGAUGUAUCUUCCAAAGUGGCGUGGAUGUGAGGAGACACGACAUUUCACCUGAUGUUCCAUGGGUGACCCUACUGGUGAUGUGGACCUGACCCUCUGCCAUGUAGCAGACAACCCCCCC
Molecule: long non-coding RNA, 707 nt
Organism: Pseudophryne corroboree (corroboree frog)
Lineage: Eukaryota; Metazoa; Chordata; Amphibia; Anura; Myobatrachidae
Exons: 4
Source: RefSeq, a predicted model, not a curated record